GGGUCAGUAGGUUGGUCGUGCCACCGGUACGUACUGGUCUCACUGAUUCCUCCUUCCUGAAGAACCGUAAUGCCAUUAAUUCGGUGUUGCGGGGAAACAGGACUGUUACUUUGAAAAAAUUAGAGUGUUUAAAGCAAGCUAACGCUUGAAUACACUAGCAUGGAAUAAUGAAAUAGGACGAUCGAUCCUAUUUUGUUGGUUUCUAGGAUUGACGUA
RNAcentral lists this ribosomal RNA (216 nucleotides) under Glomeromycotina sp. RNAcentral's name for it is "partial small subunit ribosomal RNA". The stretch from base 87 to 216 matches the Rfam family "Eukaryotic small subunit ribosomal RNA", at positions 733 to 864 of the family's 1831-position model. Lineage: Eukaryota; Fungi; Glomeromycota. The record is from RNAcentral.